This 619-nucleotide ribosomal RNA is filed under the name Salmonella enterica. Its description in RNAcentral is "bacterial SSU rRNA". It matches the Rfam family "Bacterial small subunit ribosomal RNA", at positions 1 to 609 of the family's 1533-position model. The record is from RNAcentral. RNAcentral also lists the same sequence under 2 other names. Lineage: Bacteria; Pseudomonadati; Pseudomonadota; Gammaproteobacteria; Enterobacterales; Enterobacteriaceae.
AAAUUGAAGAGUUUGAUCAUGGCUCAGAUUGAACGCUGGCGGCAGGCCUAACACAUGCAAGUCGAACGGUAACAGGAAGCAGCUUGCUGCUUCGCUGACGAGUGGCGGACGGGUGAGUAAUGUCUGGGAAACUGCCUGAUGGAGGGGGAUAACUACUGGAAACGGUGGCUAAUACCGCAUAACGUCGCAAGACCAAAGAGGGGGACCUUCGGGCCUCUUGCCAUCAGAUGUGCCCAGAUGGGAUUAGCUUGUUGGUGAGGUAAUGGCUCACCAAGGCGACGAUCCCUAGCUGGUCUGAGAGGAUGACCAGCCACACUGGAACUGAGACACGGUCCAGACUCCUACGGGAGGCAGCAGUGGGGAAUAUUGCACAAUGGGCGCAAGCCUGAUGCAGCCAUGCCGCGUGUAUGAAGAAGGCCUUCGGGUUGUAAAGUACUUUCAGCGGGGAGGAAGGUGUUGUGGUUAAUAACCGCAGCAAUUGACGUUACCCGCAGAAGAAGCACCGGCUAACUCCGUGCCAGCAGCCGCGGUAAUACGGAGGGUGCAAGCGUUAAUCGGAAUUACUGGGCGUAAAGCGCACGCAGGCGGUCUGUCAAGUCGGAUGUGAAAUCCCCGGGCU